RNAcentral lists this long non-coding RNA (375 nucleotides) under Homo sapiens (human). Its description in RNAcentral is "non-protein coding lnc-MARCKS-8:1". Lineage: Eukaryota; Metazoa; Chordata; Mammalia; Primates; Hominidae. The record is from RNAcentral.
GUUGGAGGAUGGAUGGGGGCAGUGGCCAUUUUGUGGACUAUCCACACCUUAUCCCAAUUGUUUUGCCAAAUGCUAAUCUAGGUGCUGCUGAGCAGAGAUUGUAUAGACAUAAUUAAAGUCCCAAGUCAGUUUAUUUUGAGCUAAUAAAAAAGGGGCAUCAUACUGGUUGGGCCUGAUUUAGUCAAGCCAAAGCCCUUUUAAGGAGCAACUAGACUCUUCCUAAAGUUCAGAGACUCCAAGCUUCAGCUCAAGCUCAUGGGAUUCCAGCUAGCUUAUGACCUUCCCUUCCCAGCUGCCUGCUCUAUGGACUCUGGGUUUCCAAAUAUACUAAAGUUGCUAAUUUUUGAAAACUUUCAAUCAUAUAUGUAUAUCCAG